RNAcentral lists this unclassified non-coding RNA (1280 nucleotides) under Hevea brasiliensis (rubber tree). The record is from RNAcentral. Lineage: Eukaryota; Viridiplantae; Streptophyta; Magnoliopsida; Malpighiales; Euphorbiaceae.
GCAAAAUAGUCCUUUUCUUUCUCCCCCUCUCUCAAAGAAAAAGGCCAAAGCCCUUUGGCCUUUUCUCCUCUCUUAGACACUCAUCAAACACCUCAAGAAAACAGUUUGCUCUUCUUUUAUCUUUUCUUCUAUUCUCCUCUCUCACCAUGACAGACAGGGUUUACCCUUCUGCUAAACCUGCCACGAAUGGAGGCACCACUACUACCACCAGUCCCUCUUUUCCAGCCACCAAAGCCCAACUCUACGGUGCCAACCGCCCUGCCUACCGUCCACAACCCCAACGCCAACGCAGCCGACGCAGCUGCUGGUGUGCCUGUUGUCUCUGGCUAACCGUAAUCAUAUUCACUCUCCUCCUCCUCGCUGCCAUUGCUGGUGCCAUCAUCUACGUUAUCUACCGUCCCCACCGGCCCACCUUCGCCGUCUCUGGCCUCAAAGUCUCCUCUCUCAACCUCACUUCAUCUUCCCAUCUCACCACCAAUAUCAACUUGAACAUCACCACAAGAAACCCCAACAAGAAGCUCGUCUACAUCUACAACCCUGUCACUAUCUCUGUAACUACAGAGAAAGAGGAUAUUCUUAUAGGCAAUGGCUUGUUACCCUCUUUUGUGCAUGGCACCAAGAACACAACCUUGCUGAAGGCUACCAUCACAAGCAGUGGUCAACAGCUAGACGAUACCUCUUCUAGCGAAUUAAAGACAGAUUUAAAGAGCAAUAAUGGUUUGGGUUUGAAGAUAGAGUUGGAAACUAAGGUGAAAGUGAAGAUGGGAGGCUUAAAGACACCGAAGGUUGGGAUUAGAGUUUCCUGUGAAGGGAUUAAAGCUACGGUUCCUAGUGGGAAAACGGCAACUACAGCUUCAGUAUCUAAAGCUAAAUGCAAGGUUGAUUUGAGGAUCAAGAUCUGGAAAUGGACUUUCUGAGAUGGAAUUAAUUAUUAAUUCCAAGUGUUUAAUUUAGAAGAGAAAAAGGUGUGAUUUUUUUUUUAAUUUUCUUUUUAUUUAUAUUUUUUUCUUUUACUUUUUAUAUAUUUUUCCCUCGUAUAUGUAUAAUUUCUCCUCUUUCAUAUGUUAUACAAACUGAACAUGAUUGGGUGGUACAGAAAAUUUAUUUAUAUAUAGAUUUGAAAAUUUUUGUUUAUUUUUUUCAAAAAAUUCUCCAGCGAAUUGUUUUUAUUUUAUUUAUUAUAAUUAGUAACAAUAACAAUUACUUAUUGGCACGUAGAUCUGACCAUAUACUAUACUUGAAUUAAUGAUGAGUAACAACAUGUUUUGCCCUUUGUGGAA